AUUGAACGCUGGCGGCAGGCCUAACACAUGCAAGUCGAGCGGUAGAGAGAAGCUUGCUUCUCUUGAGAGCGGCGGACGGGUGAGUAAUGCCUAGGAAUCUGCCUGGUAGUGGGGGAUAACGUUCGGAAACGGACGCUAAUACCGCAUACGUCCUACGGGAGAAAGCAGGGGACCUUCGGGCCUUGCGCUAUCAGAUGAGCCUAGGUCGGAUUAGCUAGUUGGUGAGGUAAUGGCUCACCAAGGCGACGAUCCGUAACUGGUCUGAGAGGAUGAUCAGUCACACGGGAACUGAGACACGGUCCAGACUCCUACGGGAGGCAGCAGUGGGGAAUAUUGGACAAUGGGCGAAAGCCUGCUCCAGCCAUGCCGCGUGUGUGAAGAAGGUCUUCGGAUUGUAAAGCACUUUAAGUUGGGAGGAAGGGUUGUAGUUUAAUACUCUGCAAUUUUGACGUUACCGACAGAAUAAGCUCCGGCUAACUCUGUGCCAGCAGCCGCCGUAA
Molecule: ribosomal RNA, 500 nt
Filed under: uncultured bacterium
Lineage: Bacteria
Description: partial 16S ribosomal RNA
Rfam family: Bacterial small subunit ribosomal RNA
Source: RNAcentral